UGACCCGCGUGCUGGCUCUGGCGUCCGGGCUCCCGGGCGUCCGCGAGAAUCCCAUUAUGUAGUUCAGGCUGACCUUGAACUCACUAUGUAACCCAGACUGUCCUCUAACCCUAGAGGAUCCUCCUGCCUCAGCCUCCCAAGUACUGGGAUUACAGGGAUGGAACUCGGGUCCUUGUGCUUGCGCAGCAGGCGGCGAAACCACUGAGCUAAAUCCCCGGCCCUGUUUAACUCUUUUGACUAAAGAUAAUCAUUCUCCAAGUUAUUUGUUUUGGAAAUAUUACUUCUUCCUGUAUCAGAUUUACCUUAAGGUAAUUCCAGUUCUCAUGGGCUUCCUCAAGAUGUGGAUGGCAUAAAGGACACAGAUACCAAGAAGAGCUCACCAUCAUGGCUUUCCUCACGAUAGGCUGCCCUGCUUUCUCCAGAUGAGAAGAACCUGGAAUCUAACUCCAGAAGGAGAGAUGAGCAACCCAGAACCUGCUAAUGCUUAAUUGGUGAGCCACCUUUGGAAGCAGGCUACCCAGAAACAGAAGGAGGAUCACCUUGAGUUCGAGGCCAGCCUGGGCUACAUAGUGAGUUCGAGGCCAGCCUGGACUACAUACAUAGCAAGACCCUGUCUCAAAAAGACCAAAUAAAUAAUAAAUGAAUAAAUAAAUGUCUGAAUUGGAAUUCAAAAAGAAAAGAAGAAAAGUAAUUCCGUGUUGUCCCCUAAGACAUUAUAAGAUUUAACUGAAAAGAAUCAGUUGACUGUCUUUUUCUUUUUUUCUAUGAAUAGAACAGUAAGGACAAAGAUGAACAGUAGUAUUUUUCUUCUGUGCAGUUCCCUUCCAUGUUUUGGGCAGUAGAGAAAGGGAGAGGCAAAUUUCUCCCCAGUCCCUCGUUUCUCUCCCUCUAGCAGGGUGUUUUCUGUAAUUGGCUUUCCACAUUUGCCAAGAGUCUGUUUCCUCUUAACAUCCAACAUGCUUAACAGAAGCCUUGUAAUAGUUCCAAAAAUGAUAAAACCAGACCCAAGAAUAAAAUGAUACACACGACACAUUUGUUUUGGCCAUAGCUUUGGUUAAGUUCUUUUAAAUAAUUUAGGGUUAAAUGUGGUAGAAAUAAAGAUGUUUUCUUCACAGUAAUAAGACCAAAAAGAUGCAGUCAGUGACUCGUGCAGGGUUCA
RNAcentral lists this long non-coding RNA (1159 nucleotides) under Heterocephalus glaber (naked mole-rat). Its description in RNAcentral is "lncRNA (ENSHGLG00100052616.1)". Lineage: Eukaryota; Metazoa; Chordata; Mammalia; Rodentia; Bathyergidae. The record is from RNAcentral.